GGUGCCGUUUCCCGGUUCGCUCGGCCGCGGUCGCUAUGGAGGAGCCGGAGAUGCAGCUCAAGGGGAAGAAAGUCACGGACAAGUUCACUGAGAGCGUCUACGUCCUGGCCAACGAGCCAUCCGUGGCCCUGUACCGGCUGCAGGAGCAUGUGCGUCGCUCCCUCCCCGAGCUGGCCCAGCACAAGGCAGACAUGCAGCGUUGGGAGGAGCAGAGCCAGGGAGCCAUCUACACUGUGGAGUACGCCUGCAGCGCCGUGAAGAACCUGGUGGACAGCAGCGUCUACUUCCGCAGCGUGGAGGGUCUGCUCAAACAGGCCAUCAGCAUCCGGGACCAUAUGAAUGCCAGUGCCCAGGGCCACAGCCCGGAGGAACCACCCCCGCCCUCCUCAGCCUGAUCCUGGAAGAGACUCGGGGCCCCCCAGCCUCCGCCAACCCAGACAAAGAUCAUUCCACUCAGCCUGGGACGAUGGGGAGGAAAAAAAUCCAGAUCUCCCGCAUCCUGGACCAAAGGAAUCGGCAGGUGACGUUCACCAAGCGGAAGUUCGGGCUGAUGAAGAAGGCCUAUGAGCUGAGCGUGCUCUGUGACUGUGAGAUAGCCCUCAUCAUCUUCAACAGCGCCAACCGCCUCUUCCAGUAUGCCAGCACGGACAUGGACCGUGUGCUGCUGAAGUACACAGAGUACAGCGAGCCCCACGAGAGCCGCACCAACACUGACAUCCUCGAGACGCUGAAGCGGAGGGGCAUUGGCCUCGAUGGGCCAGAGCUGGAGCCGGAUGAAGGGCCUGAGGAGCCAGGAGAGAAGUUUCGGAGGCUGGCAGGCGAAGGGGGUGAUCCGGCCUUGCCCCGACCCCGGCUGUAUCCUGCAGCUCCUGCUAUGCCCAGCCCAGAUGUGGUAUACGGGGCCUUACCGCCACCAGGCUGUGACCCCAGUGGGCUUGGGGAAGCACUGCCCGCCCAGAGCCGCCCAUCUCCCUUCCGACCAGCAGCCCCCAAAGCCGGGCCCCCAGGCCUGGUGCACCCUCUCUUCUCACCAAGCCACCUCACCAGCAAGACACCACCCCCACUGUACCUGCCGACGGAAGGGCGGAGGUCAGACCUGCCUGGUGGCCUGGCUGGGCCCCGAGGGGGACUAAACACCUCCAGAAGCCUCUACAGUGGCCUGCAGAACCCCUGCUCCACUGCAACUCCCGGACCCCCACUGGGGAGCUUCCCCUUCCUCCCCGGAGGCCCCCCAGAAUAUGGCCUGGGAGACCCUCCACCGCCCCCUGGCUUGUUGCAGCCCCCCACCCUGGCCCCCUGGCAGCCCUCGAGGGGUGAUGGGCCCCCCGCCGUGUCCUCCCAGCCCAGUGGGGGCCGAAGCCUGGGCGAGGAGGGUCCCCCAACCCGCGGCGCCUCCCCGCCGACCCCCCCAGUCAGCAUCAAGUCUGAGCGCCUCUCUCCGGCCCCCGGGGGCCCCGGCGACUUUCCUAAGACCUUCCCCUAUCCCUUGCUCCUCGCCCGGUCCCUGGCAGAGCCUCUGCGGCCUGGGCCCGCCCUGCGCCGGCUGCCCUUGGCCGACGGCUGGCCCCGGUAGGAGAUCACCCGGUGGCACCAGCCCAGAGCGCUCGCCAGGUACGGCGAGGGCACGUGGGGACCCCACCUCCCUCCAGGCCUCUUCAGAGAAGACCCAACAGUGACGCCCCCCUCCGCGGUGGGGGCUUGGAGGUGGGCGGCUGGACUCAAUCCACCCUGGGGGGCUCCUUUCCUUCUUCCUAUUUGUGUGUAUAUCCACAAAUAAAACGCGCGUGGCGUCCGUGGACCAGA
Molecule: RNA transcript, 1803 nt
Organism: Homo sapiens (human)
Lineage: Eukaryota; Metazoa; Chordata; Mammalia; Primates; Hominidae
Gene: BORCS8-MEF2B
Gene name: BORCS8-MEF2B readthrough
Exons: 13
Source: RefSeq, marked validated